CCUACGGGAGGCAGCAGUAGGGAAUAUUGCUCAAUGGGGGAAACUCUGAAGCAGCAACGCCGCGUGGAGGAUGAAGGUUUUAGGAUUGUAAACUCCUUUUGUGAGAGAAGAUAAUGACGGUAUCUCACGAAUAAGCACCGGCUAAAUCUGUGCCAGCAGCCGCGGGAAUACGGAGGGUGCAAGCGUUACUCGGAAUCACUGGGCGUAAAGAGUGCGCAGGCGGGCUUGUAAGUAAGAUGUGAAAUCCUGUAGCUUAACUAAAGAACUGCAUUUGAAACUAUGAGUCUAGAGUGUGAGAGAGGUAGGUGGAAUUCUUGGUGUAGGGGUAAAAUGCGUAGAUAUCAAGAGGAAUACUCAUGGCGAAGGCGACCUACUGGAACAUUACUGACGCUCAUGCACGAAAGCGUGGGGAGCAAACAGGAUUAGAUACCCGAGUAGUC
Molecule: ribosomal RNA, 440 nt
Filed under: uncultured bacterium
Lineage: Bacteria
Description: partial 16S ribosomal RNA
Rfam family: Bacterial small subunit ribosomal RNA
Source: RNAcentral